UUUCAAUGCGUAUUAGAGUUGAUUAAGGCGCAUUAAUUUUGCUCGUCUGUCAGGGCUAUAACUAUUCUAAAGGAAGAAAUUUGUAACUUGAUUCAGUGGUAACUCUAAUUUAUAUUCAAAUGUCAAAAAGUCUCCCAAGAUGGAGAAAAAUAAUUUGUGGAUAACUGGGUCCCCGAUUGUUAAACAUGGAGACUAAAACAAAACUGUAACAUUUAGGAGAAUGAAAAAUUGUUUACCGAUAAAUAUUGUUUAAUUAAGCAUCUGUAUAUAUGCAUCAGCGUAUGGAUUGAUUUGAGCAUAUUUUUAAAGAACAUUUUACAUCAUAUUCCUUAGCCGAAAAUUUAUAUGGGACCUUUAUCAACAAUCGAGCUCCUUUCCAACAAAUUUAACGAUUUAGAUUAACUUUAAGAGCACUAUUUGGAUAAUAAUUUCUAUAUAACUUUUAUUGUGGAUAUUAACAAUAAAUCAUGGAAUGGACGCGAGAAAGAACACUUACACUUAUUAAUGAAUACCGUAAAAGACGAGGUCUAUGGGAUAUGACACACGAUGAUUAUAGGAAAAAGGAUAUUAAACAGAAUCUUCUGAUAGAAGUGAGUAAUAGUCUUGGUGGAAGCAUAUCCGUUAACGAGAUCGAGAAGAAAUUCCACACUUUGCGUACUCAAUACCAUCGCGAAAUAAAUCGAAUGAAUCGUAAAGAGCCCUACAACUCCAAAUGGUUUGGAUUCAAGAACUUGCAGUUUUUAAGUUCUCCAAUGGCUCGACGGCUCUCGAGAGGACGUAUUAAAAAUGAAAUUACGGAAGAUGGGACAGUGACAUCAAAAUAUAUUAUAAGAGAUCCGAAUACUCAUCACGAUAGCAGUGGAAGUUCUGUGAACUUGAAUAACAAUGUAAAUGAAGAAUUUUUAAUACAUCAAAAGUCUGCUAUUGCGAUAGAGCCCAUAAGCAACUCUAAACAUUACCGUAAUACCAGUCGAUCACGCGCAUUAGAAAAGUUAAUUGAAGAAACUACCAAAGAUAUUGAUGAAGCUGAUGAUAAGCAAAAAAUGACUAUUACAAUGGAGCAGCAAAGUUUUAAUAAUGAAAUGCAAGUUGAAGACCAAAUGAAUAGUCAUAGAAUAAACGCAGAAGGAGAUGAAGAACAAUUGGAAGCUAUUCAAUUACAUGAGGAAGAGGAAGAAAUCACAUAUACAUCUUCGACAGGAGGUGAUGGCUGUGAUAUUUCUCAUAAUCAGCAAACAAUAUCUACGCGUAUUAUAAAAGCUCAACACAAUAAUUCAUGCAAUGACCCAGAUAUUGAAUAUGAAGAUGAAGCUGACCAGACACAUGAGGACAAACGUGUUUUCUAUGGAAGCACCGGACAACAAAAUUCCGUGCCUAUGACGUCCACGCCAUCUGCGAGUACACAUCCAACAAACAUAUUGUUAAAUUCCAAAAUCAAAAUCAGCAGUCAACAAAAGCAAAAUUUGCCAGGACGAAAUCUGGAUAAACCAACCAAUCCGAAUUCUGGACCGCAAGUAUUUCAUACAUCAGGUCAUAUACGCGACGAAUAUACUACUUAUGGCGAAUAUGUAUCUAAUGAAAUGCGCAACAUAACGAAUCGUGAAGUGUUAUUAGGUCUUAAACAUAAAAUAAAUACUGCUCUUUUUGAAGCGCAAAUGGCUGAACUACGGAAUUAAAAAAUUACAAAAAAAGUUACCCUACACAUUCAUAUAUUUAUCUAGUUAUCACUUACGGUUGCAUUCUCCUCAACGUUUUAAAUUUUAAUUGGAUAUUUUUCACAUAAAACGUUAUAUAUAUAUAUAUAUAUAUAGGGCAGCUAAUAGAGUAAAGGAAAGUUUGGUUAAACUGUCAAAAAAAUAUAUUUUUUUGGAAUCAUACAAAAUUUGUAAAACUCAAAGAAUGUAUAAUUACUACAUAUGUAUAUUUGAGCACAAUAAGGAAAUUACUUUUUUUCAUGUGUAUUUUGCAGUGUCUGUCAUUUGCAAAGGUUUAUCAAAAAAUCCCAUGUCAAAUAUAUAUCAAAUACUGAAACUUGAGGAAAUAACAAGCUGAACAUUCCUUUUCAUGGUUGUUCGGUUAUUUAAUUUACUAUUACAUGUAAAACAUUUGCAUCCCAUCAGUUUGGGUAAUU
RNA transcript from Bactrocera dorsalis (oriental fruit fly), 2131 nucleotides. RefSeq lists it as uncharacterized. NCBI's taxonomy places the organism in Eukaryota, Metazoa, Arthropoda, Insecta, Diptera, Tephritidae. The transcript is spliced from 2 exons. The record is from RefSeq and is a predicted model, not a curated record.